AGUCGAGGGGUAGCAUGAAGUAGCAAUACUUCGAUGACGACCGGCGCACGGGUGAGUAACACGUAUGCAACCUACCUUCCACAGGGGAAUAGCCCGGAGAAAUCCGAAUUAAUACCCCAUAACACAGGGAUACCGCAUGGUAAUAUUUGUUAAAGAUUAAUCGGUAGAAGAUGGGCAUGCGUUCCAUUAGCCAGUUGGUGAGGUAACGGCUCACCAAAGCAACGAUGGAUAGGGGAACUGAGAGGUUUAUCCCCCACACUGGAACUGAGACACGGUCCAGACUCCUACGGGAGGCAGCAGUGAGGAAUAUUGGUCAAUGGACGAGAGUCUGAACCAGCCAAGUCGCGUGAAGGAUGACUGCCCUACGGGUUGUAAACUUCUUUUGUAUGGGAGUAAAAAGAUGGACGUGUCCAUUAUUGCAAGUACCAUACGAAUAAGCAUCGGCUAACUCCGUGCCAGCAGCCGCGGUAAUACGGAGGAUGCAAGCGUUAUCCGGAUUUAUUGGGUUUAAAGGGUGCGUAGGCGGGACAAUAAGUCAGCGGUGAAAGUUUGAGGCUCAACCUUAAAAUUGCCGUUGAAACUGUCGUUCUUGAGUAUAUUUGAAGUAGGCGGAAUUCGUAGUGUAGCGGUGAAAUGCAUAGAUAUUACGAAGAACUCCAAUUGCGAAGGCAGCUUACUAAACUAUAACUGACGCUGA
This 697-nucleotide ribosomal RNA is filed under the name uncultured bacterium. RNAcentral's name for it is "bacterial SSU rRNA". It matches the Rfam family "Bacterial small subunit ribosomal RNA", at positions 60 to 749 of the family's 1533-position model. The record is from RNAcentral.